GAUGAACGCUAGCUACAGGCUUAACACAUGCAAGUCGAGGGGCAGCAUGAAGGAAGCUUGCUUCCUUUGAUGGCGACCGGCGCACGGGUGAGUAACGCGUAUCCAACCUUCCCCUUAGUAGGGCAUAGCCCGUAUAAAUGCGGAUUAAUACCCUAUGUUCUUCGUUGAGGACAUCUGAUAUGGAGCAAAGCUUUUGCGCUAAGGGAUGGGGAUGCGUCCGAUUAGGUAGUAGGCGGGGUAACGGCCCACCUAGCCGUCGAUCGGUAGGGGUUCUGAUAGGAAGGUCCCCCACACUGGAACUGAGACACGGUCCAUACUCCUACGGGAGGCAGCAGUGAGGAAUAUUGGUCAAUGGGCGGAGGCCUGAACCCAGCCAAGUAGCGUGGAGGACGACGGCCCUACGGGUUGUAAACUCCUUUUAUGCGGGGAUAAAGUGCGGGACGUGUCCCGUUUUGCAGGUACCGCAUGAAUAAGGACCGGCUAAUUCCGUGCCAGCAGCCGCGGUAAUACGGAAGGUCCGGGCGUUAUCCGGAUUUAUUGGGUUUAAAGGGAGCGCAGACGGCCUGUUAAGCGUGCAGUGAAAUGUGGGUGCUCAACAUCUGCACUGCUGCGUGAACUGGCGGGCUUGAGUUGUCUGGAGGUGCGCGGAAUUCGUGGUGUAGCGGUGAAAUGCUUAGAUAUCACGAGGAACCCCGAUUGCGAAGGCAGCGCACCGUUGGCACACUGACGUUGAGGCUCGAAGGUGCGGGUAUCGAACA
This 758-nucleotide ribosomal RNA is filed under the name uncultured bacterium. RNAcentral's name for it is "bacterial SSU rRNA". It matches the Rfam family "Bacterial small subunit ribosomal RNA", at positions 28 to 774 of the family's 1533-position model. The record is from RNAcentral.